Molecule: small RNA, 56 nt
Filed under: unclassified sequences
Description: NAD+-I sequence
Rfam family: nadA riboswitch
Source: Rfam by way of RNAcentral
GGCUUCAACAUCCCCGCCGGUUGGGCGUCGUAAGGUGCAGCGAACCGACUGGAGCC